GGAUGGAUCACCUCCUUUCUAAGGAAAAAAUAAAAUUAUCAUCUUCAGUUUUGAAAGACUUAGAAAAUUCAUAAGUUUUUCUUUUUUUAAGGCAUUAAGGGCCUAUAGCUCAGCUGGUUAGAGCACACGCCUGAUAAGCGUGAGGUCGGUGGUUCAAGUCCAUUUAGGCCCACCAGUUUAUUUUAAAAGUUAUAAGCACUGUCUUAAAAAAAAGUUCUUUGAAAAGUAGAUAAACAUAGUAAAAUCAAAAAAAUUGAAGGAAUUAAGAGCGCACAGUGGAUGCCUUGGCACCAAGAGCCGAUGAAGGACGCAAUUAACGGCGAUACGCCACGGGGAGUUGUAAAUAAAUGAAGAUCCGUGGAUUUCCGAAUGGGGAAACCUACUAUAAUAACAUUAUAGUUUUUUGAUUUUCGAAUCAAAAAGGGAUACGCAGUGAACUGAAAUAUCUAAGUAACUGCAGGAAAAGAAAGUAAUAACGAUUCUGGCAGUAGCGACGAGCGAAUCCGGAGGAGCCUGAUACCACCACUAGUUACAAAAUUUUAACCAACUUGAAGUUUUUGGGAAAAAACACCAAAGAAGGUGAUAGUCCUGUAAGGGUAAGUUAAAAUCUAGGGUAUCGAAAAGUACGGCGAGACACGAGAAAUCUUGUUGGAACAUAGGGAGGACCAUCUCCUAAGGCUAAAUACUACUUGGUGACCGAUAGUGAACUAGUACCGUGAGGGAAAGGUGAA
RNAcentral lists this small RNA (731 nucleotides) under Peach Western X phytoplasma. RNAcentral describes it as "bacterial LSU rRNA". The stretch from base 253 to 731 matches the Rfam family "Bacterial large subunit ribosomal RNA", at positions 1 to 518 of the family's 2925-position model. Lineage: Bacteria; Bacillati; Mycoplasmatota; Mollicutes; Acholeplasmatales; Acholeplasmataceae. The record is from RNAcentral.